RNAcentral lists this ribosomal RNA (253 nucleotides) under uncultured bacterium. RNAcentral describes it as "partial 16S ribosomal RNA". It matches the Rfam family "Bacterial small subunit ribosomal RNA", at positions 524 to 776 of the family's 1533-position model. The record is from RNAcentral.
UACAGAGGGGGCAAGCGUUGUUCGGAAUUACUGGGCGUAAAGGGCGCGUAGGUGGCCUUCUAAGUUGAACGUGAAAUCCCUGGGCUCAACCCAGGAACUGCGUCCAAGACUGGGAGGCUUGAAUCCGGGAGAGGGAUGCGGAAUUCCAGGUGUAGCGGUGAAAUGCGUAGAUAUCAAGAGGAACACCUGAGGUGAAGACGGGUUGCUGGGCCAACACUGACGCUGAGGCGCGAAAGCCAGGGGAGCAAACGGG